GGGCCGGUGGCGCAGUUGGUAGCGCGCCUCGAUGGCAUCGAGGAGGUCGUGGGUUCGAAUCCCAUCCGGUCCA
This 73-nucleotide transfer RNA is filed under the name Candidatus Brennerbacteria bacterium. Its description in RNAcentral is "tRNA-Ala". It matches the Rfam family "tRNA". From Rfam's summary of the family: Transfer RNA (tRNA) molecules are approximately 80 nucleotides in length. Their secondary structure includes four short double-helical elements and three loops (D, anti-codon, and T loops). Further hydrogen bonds mediate the characteristic L-shaped molecular structure. tRNAs have two regions of fundamental functional importance: the anti-codon, which is responsible for specific mRNA codon recognition, and the 3' end, to which the tRNAs corresponding amino acid is attached (by aminoacyl-tRNA synthetases). tRNAs cope with the degeneracy of the genetic code in two manners: having more than one tRNA (with a specific anti-codon) for a particular amino acid; and 'wobble' base-pairing, i.e. permitting non-standard base-pairing at the 3rd anti-codon position. Lineage: Bacteria; Candidatus Brenneribacteriota. The record is from RNAcentral.